GGUUUUAAUGGCAGUGCGCGGAGAACUGAAAAUCCCCGUGUCAGCAGUUCGAUUCUGUUCCUGGGCACCA
This 70-nucleotide transfer RNA is filed under the name Desulforapulum autotrophicum HRM2. RNAcentral's name for it is "tRNA-Phe (GAA) (tRNA-Phe-GAA-2-1)". Lineage: Bacteria; Pseudomonadati; Thermodesulfobacteriota; Desulfobacteria; Desulfobacterales; Desulfobacteraceae. The record is from RNAcentral.